Acaromyces ingoldii is the source of this 121-nucleotide non-coding RNA. Lineage: Eukaryota; Fungi; Basidiomycota; Exobasidiomycetes; Exobasidiales; Cryptobasidiaceae. The record is from the annotation of a RefSeq genome assembly.
GGUACCAUGCCUGAGUGGUUAAAGGGUGAGAUUCAAGUUUUUCAGACAACUUAGACCGAACAAAGUGGUCUGGAACAUCCUCAUGGCGCGAGCCGCGUGGGUUCGAGCCCCACUGGUACCA